RNAcentral lists this unclassified non-coding RNA (443 nucleotides) under Hevea brasiliensis (rubber tree). Lineage: Eukaryota; Viridiplantae; Streptophyta; Magnoliopsida; Malpighiales; Euphorbiaceae. The record is from RNAcentral.
CCCAAUGGCUCUCCCCAUGAUAUGUUGGGGGCUCAACCAAUGCUGACCAUAAGUAUAUAGAAACCUAUCAUCCUGGUCAUUGCUGUCUCCUUUUGUGAGGAUAUCAACAUCUCUGGUAUCUUGUCUCUCAUGGACCUCAAUUACUCGAUGGACAAUUGGAAUAUCACGUCCUUCUACAUUAAACACAACAAUCUCUCCAGUCCGAAUAGGAUCCUUGCUCGAGUGCAAGAACAAUAUGUCACCUCGUUUAAAACCGGGCUCCAUACUUCCAGUGAGAACAACCACAACAGGCGACUCACAACCAGUUAUGCACAUCAAUGCCUUCCAUAUCAUUAGAGCUGAAGUCACAAUCAUGCCUCAUCAUCAUGAACCUAAUCUCUUCUUGUCAACGCCAUUUCUGCACUGCUCUCUCUGUGCAACGCGGAGCAGAAAAGUCUUAACUG